This is a long non-coding RNA of Carassius auratus (goldfish), 484 nucleotides long. RefSeq lists it as uncharacterized. Lineage: Eukaryota; Metazoa; Chordata; Actinopteri; Cypriniformes; Cyprinidae. The record is from RefSeq and is a predicted model, not a curated record. The transcript is spliced from 3 exons.
GUUUUGAAUUCCAACGGUCGAGAAGAGAUUGAUCCCCGUCUGCUGAUUUAAAUUGAUGGUCUGACAGAAAUAUUGUUGUGCGGAUUUACACUAAAACACGAAAGAGCCUGAACCGCGACAGUGUCACAAGUUGCCUUACAUCCAUAAGUUUUGUUGUGCUUGUUGCAAACUGUUAAAUUAAGAGUUUUCCGAUCCUAAGCUUAGAAAAAAAGAUGCAAGACUUCAAACUUUCCAGUACUCCGGUGUACUUAUAAUCCGGGUUCCACCCAGUCCCAGGAGAUUAUAUUAAACCUGGAAAAUAUUGGAGAAGAUCAAUUAAGUUUUCAGGAGCACAUUACUGUGAUAAAUGCUGAACUAUGUAAAAGACAACCUGACUACACCAACAUAUCAAAAAUCGAAUGAGAUGCGCUCUUUUUAAAAGGGUUGAUUUAAUGACAAAAUCAACAUGAGAGUUCAUGGACAUGUUCCCAUUUCUUCGGGUUCC